Molecule: ribosomal RNA, 1978 nt
Filed under: human oral metagenome
Description: bacterial LSU rRNA
Rfam family: Bacterial large subunit ribosomal RNA
Source: RNAcentral
UAAAAUAAUUAAGGGCACACAAAGGAUGCCUAGGUAGUAAGAGCCGAUGAAGGACGUGGUAAGCUGCGAUAAGCCUAGAUAAGUUGCAAUCGAACGUAAGAGUCUAGGAUUUCCGAAUGGAGCAAUCUAUUAAGAUGGAGUCUUAAUACGAAAGAGGGAACCGCGUGAACUGAAACAUCUAAGUAACGCGAGGAAAAGAAAGUAAAAACGAUACCCAAAGUAGCGGCGAGCGAACUGGGUCAAGCCUAAACCUUAAAUAUGUCAAGGAUACAGCCGUUGUAUUUAAGGGGUUGUGGGACUAAGUUGUGAAGAACUGUAAGAUAUUCAAUAUAGUGUAUUGAUGAAUUAGAAUUGUAUGGAAAGAUAAACCGUAGAAGGUGAGAGUCCUGUAUAAGUAAAUCCUUACACAUAUAACUUGGCUCCCAAGUAGCAUGGAACACGAGGAAUUCUGUGUGAAUCAGUGAGGACCAUAUCUCAUAAGGCUAAAUACUCUUACUAACCGAUAGCGCAUAGUACCGUGAGGGAAAGGUGAAAAGAACCCCUGGAGGGGAGUGAAAUAGAACCUGAAAUUGUGUGCUUACAAGCGGUCAAAGCCCAUUUGGGUGAUGGCGUGCCUUUUGGAGAAUGAUCCUGCGAGUUACGUUAAACGGCGAGGUUAAGUAUAACGGAGCCGAAGGGAAACCAAGUCUUAAUAGGGCGAUAUAGUCGUUUGGCGUAGACGCGAAACCUGGUGAUCUAAACCUGUCCAGGAUGAAGCUGUGGUAAGACACAGUGGAGGUCCUAACCCACCGCCGUUGAAAAGUUGGGGGAUGAGGUAGGUUUAGGGGUGAAAAGCCAAUCGAACCAGGAGAUAGCUCGUUCUCUCCGAAAUGCAUCUAGGUGCAGCCUUGAGUGUUCAAUUAUGGGGGUAGAGCACUGAAUGAUCUAGGGGGCAUAUUGCUUACUGAAAUCAAUCAAACUCCAAAUACCAUAAUUUAUAGCUCAGGAGUGAGACCAUGGGAGUUAACUUCCAUUGUCAAAAGGGAAACAACCCAGACCACCAGCUAAGGUCCCUAAUUAUAACUAAGUGGGAAAGGAGGUGGAGAUUCACAAACAACUAGGAGGUUGGCUUAGAAGCAGCCAUACCUUUAAAGAGUGCGUAAUAGCUCACUAGUCGAGAGUCUCUGCGCCGACAAUGUAACGGGGCUAAGUUAUAAACCGAAGCUGUGGAAUCCUUAUGGAUUGGUAGGAGAGCGUUCUGUAGGCCGUUGAAGAAGAAGGGUAACCAACUUUGGAGGUAUCAGAAGUGAGAAUGCAGGAAUAAGUAGCGAGAAAGGGGGCGAGAAUCCCCCUCGCCGGAAGACCAAGGUUUUCAGGGUAAAGCUUGUCUUCCCUGAGUAAGCCGGGACCUAAGCCCAGGCUAUAAUGCGUAGGCGAAUGGAAAACAGAUUAAUAUUUCUGUGCCAGUCAUUUAUUGUGAUGGAGGGACGCAGAAGGGUAUGUGCGCGGACGAUCGGUUGUGUCCGUAGAAGUAUGUAGGGUGACUUAGUAGGAAAAUCCAUUAAGUUAUAUCUGAGGUAUGAUAUACAGUCGUAAGAUGAAUGUGCAAAUCCCACGCUGCCAAGAAAAACUUCUAGCGUUAAUAUAUGACUGCCCGUACUGUAAACCGACACAGGUGGUCAGGAUGAGAAAUCUAAGGCGGACAGGCUAACUCUCGUUAAGGAACUCUGCAAAAUAACCUCGUAACUUCGGGAGAAGAGGAGCCCUUGUGUGUGAGUAUACAUGCGAUACAAAGCACACGAGGGUCGCAGUGAAGAGGCUCAAGCAACUGUUUAACAAAAACACAGGUCUAUGCUAAGCUGUAAGGCGAUGUAUAUGGGCUGACACCUGCCCAGUGCUGGAAGGUUAAGAGGAGGAGUGAGAGCUCCGAAUUGAAGCCCCAGUGAACGGCGGCCGUAACUAUAACGGUCCUAAGGUAGCGAAAUUCCUUGUCGGGUAA